CAGGAGAGGCCUGGAAAAUCAUCUGAGCUUGAAAACAGUCGUUGAAGUUUCAGUGUUCUUGGUGAUGAAGUUGAUUGUGUGCAUGUUUCAUUAAGAAUCAAAGCAUGUACAUCAUUCUGCAUGGAAGCCAACAGCAGAAGCACAGCAGCAUCCCCAAGGUUCAAUGGUCUGGAAGGGAUAGAAGUGGUCAGUUAAUCAAAACAUCUGGACACAUAGGAGUUUCAUUUUAUCUUCUUAGAGCAAGCACCUUGGCAACCCAAUUUUUGGGGGGACCAGCAGUGGUCAUUUCAGAGACUCACUGAGCUGUACAGCCGAGCCGCAAGGUCACCUUGGUUCCACGUACAGGCAGUGAUGGGCCCCAUCUGUGUCGUGCUAGCGGGUCAUCAGGGGAGCUCCCGUCUGUCACAGGGCCGGCGACUGUCACCCCCAGGACGUGUUCCCUCCAUAAAUGGAAACCGGCCUCUCCCACUCCCCUUCACCCGUUUUGCCCAACUUCUCUCCUCUCUCCACUCUGGCAACCAUUAAGUUUGUUCUGGGUACU
Canis lupus familiaris (dog) is the source of this 541-nucleotide long non-coding RNA. RefSeq lists it as uncharacterized. Lineage: Eukaryota; Metazoa; Chordata; Mammalia; Carnivora; Canidae. The record is from RefSeq and is a predicted model, not a curated record. The transcript is spliced from 3 exons.